AACGAACGCUGGCGGCAUGCCUAACACAUGCAAGUCGAACGGGAUCCUAGCUUGCUAGGUGAGAGUGGCGGACGGGUGAGUAACACGUGGGAAUCUGCCUUUUGGUUCGGGAUAACCGCGGGAAACUGCGGCUAAUACCGAACGCCCUCGAGAGAGGAAAGAUUUAUCGCCAGAAGAGGAGCCCGCGUCCGAUUAGGUAGUUGGUGGGGUAAAGGCCUACCAAGCCGACGAUCGGUAGCUGGUCUGAGAGGAUGAUCAGCCACACUGGGACUGAGACACGGCCCAGACUCCUACGGGAGGCAGCAGUGGGAAUAUUGGACAAUGGGGCAACCCUGAUCCAGCAAUGCCGCGUGAGUGAUGAAGGCCUCGGUGUAAGCUCUUUCACCCACGACGAUGAUGACGGUAGUGGGAGAAGAAGCCCCGGCUAACUUCGUGCCAGCAGCCGCGGUAAU
This 452-nucleotide ribosomal RNA is filed under the name uncultured bacterium. Its description in RNAcentral is "bacterial SSU rRNA". It matches the Rfam family "Bacterial small subunit ribosomal RNA", at positions 29 to 524 of the family's 1533-position model. The record is from RNAcentral.